GCUGACCUUUGAUGGAUGGGGUGUUGGGUUAGCCCUGCUGGGAUUUGAACCUUUUUUUAGCAGGCUUUGUGGUCAGGGAUUUUGCCAGCUAAGCUAUGUCAUUGGCAGGGUGUGUCUUCACUAUGUUUUUGAGAUGUAGAAUAUAUGACAACAUGCCACACCCCUGGUAGACUGCAGAAUAGAGUUUAGAUACUUCGCCUCUUAGGACCUCUCACAUUGAACAGAUGAUGG
Pelobates cultripes (western spadefoot toad) is the source of this 231-nucleotide non-coding RNA. Lineage: Eukaryota; Metazoa; Chordata; Amphibia; Anura; Pelobatidae. The record is from the annotation of a GenBank genome assembly.